This 1748-nucleotide ribosomal RNA is filed under the name Staphylococcus hominis. RNAcentral describes it as "bacterial LSU rRNA". It matches the Rfam family "Bacterial large subunit ribosomal RNA", at positions 467 to 2220 of the family's 2925-position model. The record is from RNAcentral. Lineage: Bacteria; Bacillati; Bacillota; Bacilli; Caryophanales; Staphylococcaceae.
UAAAUACUCUCUAGUGACCGAUAGUGAACCAGUACCGUGAGGGAAAGGUGAAAAGUACCCCGGAAGGGGAGUGAAAGAGAACUUGAAACCGUGUGCUUACAAGUAGUCAGAGCCCGUUAAUGGGUGAUGGCGUGCCUUUUGUAGAAUGAACCGGCGAGUUACGAUCUGAUGCAAGGUUAAGCAGAAAAUGUGGAGCCGUAGCGAAAGCGAGUCUGAAUAGGGCGUAUAGUAUUUGGUCGUAGACCCGAAACCAGGUGAUCUACCCAUGGUCAGGUUGAAGUUCAGGUAACACUGAAUGGAGGACCGAACCGACUUACGUUGAAAAGUGAGCGGAUGAACUGUGGGUAGCGGAGAAAUUCCAAUCGAACUUGGAGAUAGCUGGUUCUCUCCGAAAUAGCUUUAGGGCUAGCCUCAAGUGAUGAUUAUUGGAGGUAGAGCACUGUUUGGACGAGGGGCCCCUCUCGGGUUACCGAAUUCAGACAAACUCCGAAUGCCAAUUAAUUUAACUUGGGAGUCAGAACAUGGGUGAUAAGGUCCGUGUUCGAAAGGGAAACAGCCCAGACCACCAGCUAAGGUCCCAAAAUAUAUGUUAAGUGGAAAAGGAUGUGGCGUUGCCCAGACAACUAGGAUGUUGGCUUAGAAGCAGCCAUCAUUUAAAGAGUGCGUAAUAGCUCACUAGUCGAGUGACACUGCGCCGAAAAUGUACCGGGGCUAAACAUAUUACCGAAGCUGUGGAUUGUCCUUUGGACAAUGGUAGGAGAGCGUUCUAAGGGCGUUGAAGCAUGAUCGCAAGGACAUGUGGAGCGCUUAGAAGUGAGAAUGCCGGUGUGAGUAGCGAAAGACGGGUGAGAAUCCCGUCCACCGAUUGACUAAGGUUUCCAGAGGAAGGCUCGUCCGCUCUGGGUUAGUCGGGUCCUAAGCUGAGGCCGACAGGCGUAGGCGAUGGAUAACAGGUUGAUAUUCCUGUACCACCUAUAAUCGUUUUAAUCGAUGGGGGGACGCAGUAGGAUAGGCGAAGCGUACGAUUGGAUUGUACGUCUAAGCAGUGAGAUUGAGUGUUAGGCAAAUCCGGCACUCUUAAGAUUGAGCUGUGAUGGGGAGAGGAAAUUGUUUCCUCGAGUCGUUGAUUUCACACUGCCGAGAAAAGCCUCUAGAUAGAGAUUAGGUGCCCGUACCGCAAACCGACACAGGUAGUCAAGAUGAGAAUUCUAAGGUGAGCGAGCGAACUCUCGUUAAGGAACUCGGCAAAAUGACCCCGUAACUUCGGGAGAAGGGGUGCUCUUUAGGGUGCAAGCCCAGAAGAGCCGCAGUGAAUAGGCCCAAGCGACUGUUUAUCAAAAACACAGGUCUCUGCUAAACCGUAAGGUGAUGUAUAGGGGCUGACGCCUGCCCGGUGCUGGAAGGUUAAGAGGAGUGGUUAGCUUCUGCGAAGCUACGAAUCGAAGCCCCAGUAAACGGCGGCCGUAACUAUAACGGUCCUAAGGUAGCGAAAUUCCUUGUCGGGUAAGUUCCGACCCGCACGAAAGGCGUAACGAUUUGGGCACUGUCUCAACGAGAGACUCGGUGAAAUCAUAGUACCUGUGAAGAUGCAGGUUACCCGCGACAGGACGGAAAGACCCCGUGGAGCUUUACUGUAGCCUGAUAUUGAAAUUCGGCACAGCUUGUACAGGAUAGGUAGGAGCCUUUGAAACGUGAGCGCUAGCUUACGUGGAGGCGUUGGUGGGAUACUACCCUAGCUGUGUUGGCUU